AUCAAAACCUGAUGGGGGGAUACCACAAUCAAAAAGGUAGUUUUCUAGGGCAAGUUUCUUUCAUUGCACUUCAUUUGUGUUGAGCCCUGUGAUUUCCACAAAUGUAGGAAACUCAACUGCAUAAUUUAUGCUAGUGGUAUGAUGUAAUGUAGGUGUUCCUG
This is a small nuclear RNA of Protopterus annectens (West African lungfish), 161 nucleotides long. RefSeq annotates it as U1 spliceosomal RNA. The record is from RefSeq and is a predicted model, not a curated record. The transcript has a single exon. Lineage: Eukaryota; Metazoa; Chordata; Ceratodontiformes; Protopteridae.